RNAcentral lists this small nucleolar RNA (109 nucleotides) under Penicillium antarcticum. RNAcentral describes it as "A. fumigatus snoRNA Afu_304". It matches the Rfam family "A. fumigatus snoRNA Afu_304". The record is from Rfam by way of RNAcentral. Lineage: Eukaryota; Fungi; Ascomycota; Eurotiomycetes; Eurotiales; Aspergillaceae.
UACAAUGAUGAAUAAGAGCUUUGCUCGAAACAAACCCAGCUCUUCGAGUGUCCUCAAUAUAUAAACUCACGAAGAGGGCACCUUGAGAACAAAAGUUAUAAACUGAAAU